This 64-nucleotide transfer RNA is filed under the name Bolitaena pygmaea. Its description in RNAcentral is "tRNA-His". The record is from RNAcentral. Lineage: Eukaryota; Metazoa; Mollusca; Cephalopoda; Octopoda; Bolitaenidae.
GUAGAAUUAGUUUAUUUAAAAUACUAAGUUGUGGGCUUAGAGAUAUAAGGUCUUUUAUUUUACU